Long non-coding RNA from Neopelma chrysocephalum (saffron-crested tyrant-manakin), 474 nucleotides. RefSeq lists it as uncharacterized. The transcript is spliced from 4 exons. Lineage: Eukaryota; Metazoa; Chordata; Aves; Passeriformes; Pipridae. The record is from RefSeq and is a predicted model, not a curated record.
CAGGAGGAAGAAUUCAUCGACUGGUGGAGCAAGUUUUAUGCUUCCAUAGGAGAGAGGGAAAAAUGUGGCUCCUACCUGGAAAAGGGCUUUGACACCUUGAAGGUCUACGAGUCGGAGCUGGAGGAGGUGGAGGAGUUCGAGCACCUCUGUGAUUUCUGCCACACCUUCCCCCUGCUCCGGGGCCGCAGCCGCGACUGCAGCGACGACCCCUCGGUCGUGGGAGAGUUCAAGGGUUCCUUCAGGAUCUACCCCCUUCCCGAGGAUCCGCGGGUGCCGGCGCCGCCCCGGCAAUUCCAGCAGCUCCCGGCGCGGGGCCUCCAGGAAUGUCUGCUCCGGGUCUACAUCGUCCGGGCCUUCGACCUGCAGCCCAAGGACUCCAAUGGGAAGUGCGAUCCCUACGUGAAGAUUUCCGUGGGAAAGAAAUCCAUCAACGACCAGGAAAAUUACCUGCCCUGCACCCUGGAGCCUGUCUUU